RNAcentral lists this transfer RNA (71 nucleotides) under Loxodonta africana (African savanna elephant). It matches the Rfam family "tRNA". From Rfam's summary of the family: Transfer RNA (tRNA) molecules are approximately 80 nucleotides in length. Their secondary structure includes four short double-helical elements and three loops (D, anti-codon, and T loops). Further hydrogen bonds mediate the characteristic L-shaped molecular structure. tRNAs have two regions of fundamental functional importance: the anti-codon, which is responsible for specific mRNA codon recognition, and the 3' end, to which the tRNAs corresponding amino acid is attached (by aminoacyl-tRNA synthetases). tRNAs cope with the degeneracy of the genetic code in two manners: having more than one tRNA (with a specific anti-codon) for a particular amino acid; and 'wobble' base-pairing, i.e. permitting non-standard base-pairing at the 3rd anti-codon position. The record is from Rfam by way of RNAcentral. Lineage: Eukaryota; Metazoa; Chordata; Mammalia; Proboscidea; Elephantidae.
GCGGUGGUGGUUCAGUGGUAGAAUUCUCACAUUCUAUGUGGGAAACCUGGGUUCAACUCAUGGCCAGUGCA